CCACCACCCACACCACCUCCACCUCGUCCACCUCCUCCUCCUCCUCGUUAUCGUGGCUGGUGGGAGCGCUGACGGCCUGGGUCAAGAGACCCUGCCAAUGCCCAGCGAGGUGUGGGUGCAGUCUGUGAACUUCUUCCAUGAAGUCCACUGGACUCCUGGGGCAGGUACACCGCCCGGAACGUCGUUCGCCGUCCAGUACCGCGGGGUCUACACAGGAGCACCGUGGAGAGACAUCAAACACUGCUCCCUCAUCAGACAUCACCACCAACAUCACCACCAACAUCACCACCAACAUCACCACCAACACCACCGCCAAAAUCACCAAGUCCACCAUUUGAGUAGUCCCUCUCCAAAUGCUUGCUCAUCACCAUCACCCUUCCCUCCACCUACCAACUCACCCAACAACUCACCCGCCAACUCACCCACCAACUCAAAAACCAACUCACCCACC
Non-coding RNA from Petromyzon marinus (sea lamprey), 451 nucleotides. Lineage: Eukaryota; Metazoa; Chordata; Hyperoartia; Petromyzontiformes; Petromyzontidae. The record is from RefSeq and is a predicted model, not a curated record.